UACGGAGGGUGCAAGCGUUAUCCGGAUUUACUGGGUUUAAAGGGUCCGCAGGCGGGUCUUUAAGUCAGUGGUGAAAGCCCAGAGCUCAACUCUGGAAUUGCCAUUGAUACUGGAGACCUUGAGUAUAGUUGAGGUGGGCGGAAUAAAUCAUGUAGCGGUGAAAUGCAUAGAUAUGAUUUAGAACACCAAUUGCGAAGGCAGCUCACUAAACUAUUACUGACGCUCAGGGACGAAAGCGUGGGGAGCGAACAGG
RNAcentral lists this unclassified non-coding RNA (253 nucleotides) under uncultured Cryomorphaceae bacterium. RNAcentral's name for it is "contains 16S-23S intergenic spacer region". It matches the Rfam family "Bacterial small subunit ribosomal RNA", at positions 524 to 776 of the family's 1533-position model. Lineage: Bacteria; Pseudomonadati; Bacteroidota; Flavobacteriia; Flavobacteriales; Cryomorphaceae. The record is from RNAcentral.